GAGGGGUAUAGUAGCAAUACUAGAGACCGGCGCACGGGUGCGUAACGCGUAUGCAAUCUACCUUUUGCAGAGGGAUAGCCCAGAGAAAUUUGGAUUAAUACCUCAUAGUAUAGCAACUUCGCAUGAAGUCACUAUUAAAGUCACAACGGCAAAAGAUGAGCAUGCGUCCCAUUAGCUAGUUGGUAAGGUAACGGCUUACCAAGGCGACGAUGGGUAGGGGUCCUGAGAGGGAGAUCCCCCACACUGGUACUGAGACACGGACCAGACUCCUACGGGAGGCAGCAGUGAGGAAUAUUGGUCAAUGGGCGCAAGCCUGAACCAGCCAUGCCGCGUGCAGGAUGACGGUCCUAUGGAUUGUAAACUGCUUUUGUACGGGAAGAAACCCUCCAACGUGUUGGAGCUUGACGGUACCGUAAGAAUAAGGAUCGGCUAACUCCGUGCCAGCAGCCGCGGUAAUACGGAGGAUCCAAGCGUUAUCCGGAAUCAUUGGGUUUAAAGGGUCCGUAGGCGGUUUUGUAAGUCAGUGGUGAAAGCCCAUCGCUCAACGGUGGAACGGCCAUUGAUACUGCAAGACUUGAAUUAUUAGGAAGUAACUAGAGUAUGUAGUGUAGCGGUGAAAUGCUUAGAGAUUACAUGGAAUACCAAUUGCGAAGGCAGGUUACUACUAAUGGAUUGACGCUGAUGGACGAAAGCGUGGGUAGCGAAC
Molecule: ribosomal RNA, 706 nt
Filed under: uncultured Bacteroidota bacterium
Lineage: Bacteria; Pseudomonadati; Bacteroidota
Description: bacterial SSU rRNA
Rfam family: Bacterial small subunit ribosomal RNA
Source: RNAcentral